This 1127-nucleotide ribosomal RNA is filed under the name Triticum aestivum (bread wheat). Its description in RNAcentral is "partial small subunit ribosomal RNA". The record is from RNAcentral. Lineage: Eukaryota; Viridiplantae; Streptophyta; Magnoliopsida; Poales; Poaceae.
UGUCAUAUUACAGAUAUUUGUGGAUAUAAGGGCUACAGUAUAGAUUUACAACACCAUAUAUGAUUGAAGGACAAACUGAGGGUCCUAAACAUAAAUUUAUAGCACACUUAAUAUUGCUAUAAAGGAGUAAAUCUCCAGCUAGGGAAUACAAACUGGGAGUACGUCUAACUAAUACAAACGGGAGUACUACACAUCCCGAGUGGUAGUAGACGUGGCCUGUUUGGUCAUGUGGCGUGGCCCAUGGUUCUGUCGGCACCGCUGAAGCGUGUAAAAGGAAUCGAGGAGGGAGUGGAUAAGGUACACCCCAAAUCACACAUCCACUCCACAAUCGCUCGUUCGAGCUCUGCUUCAGGCCGGCGCUCAGGGCCGGCUCCUUCAGCGGCGUGGUGGCCCCCCCGCAGAGGAGGAGGGGGGUUGGGCGGCGGCCUCGUGAAGGCUGAGAUCUGCGACGCGGCCAGUGAGACCAAGUGCUUCCGGCGACCAGGUGCCGAUGCGGAUUCCAGCGGGGCGAGCAGUCACGGCUGAUGCAAAGCGACGGAGUAGUACACGGGCUUCCGGCGAGGGCGUCGGGAGUGCGGACUGCGGCGCCGCUUCCUGGUGCUCCUUCUCCUCCACAUCCGGUGCUGGGAGGUUGUGGUCGGGGAGCGCUGGGAGAGCGAGGGUCGGCGCAGCGGUCUCGAUCUCGUCUGUCUUCACCUUCGGCAGGAGGUUGAUGACGAAGCCCGACGGUAGCGUCUCCAUGUCAACCGCAGUUGGCGGCGACGAGAACGGCAGGCGUGGCCCGUACCCGUGAAGCGGGCAGUAGUACAUCGUCGGAAAUGAUGCUGGUGGUGGCGCCGGGAGUUCCUCGUCGCCAAAGUCACGCUCGGGAUCGUAGACAAGCCAACCGGCGCUCGGUCCGCCCAGCAGCCACUUCAUGGGCGGAACGGUGAACUCCGGCGGUAGUGGCAUCAGGUCGUCAGCUUCUGCGCUGACGUUUGAGGCAGAGGCCUCGUCUUCGUAUUCUGCGUCGAUCAUCUGUGUUAGACUGUAUUUAGCAUGUGUAUAUUGUAACGUUGUAUACCACCUCAUUAUAUAUAUAUGUGAUAGGCCACCCCUAGAGGGUUGUGUCGGUUCCCCAAAGCCUA